RNAcentral lists this long non-coding RNA (846 nucleotides) under Apteryx rowi (Okarito brown kiwi). RNAcentral describes it as "lncRNA (ENSARWG00000008492.1)". The record is from RNAcentral. Lineage: Eukaryota; Metazoa; Chordata; Aves; Apterygiformes; Apterygidae.
ACUGUCUUUCAGUUCAGACUGGGGCAAUUUUUCAUGCUACCCUGACACUGUUAAACAAACAGCUAAUCACACUGUUGAGAUUAUAGUGAAAGUCUUCAUCAACAGUGUCACUGAAGGUGAAAAACCAGGAAAGGAAAUACAGUCAUGAAUUUGGACAUAACGUAGCUAGAUCUAAUCUCAUGGACAUCAAAUCUGCCUAGAGCUUUCCAGUAGUUUUUGAAGAUGACUGCUCAUACGGUGUCAAAAAAAUUGUGUAUACACCUACUGAAGCAACAGCAUAAGAGGAAAUGCUAAUAGAAUUAGUGAAAAACUUUAAGAAUGUAGGAAGGUGGCUCACCAAUUCAAUGGAUUUCUGAAGUAAGAGACGGAAGAGAGCUAAAGGGGAAAGGAAAGGACAAAAAGACCAUGAAGGAAAACACUGCAGUAGUCGCAAUGCUGGCAGAGAAAUGACUUACAGCAGCAAAAUGGAGCCUGGCAGCCAAGAAGACCAGACAUGGAGGCAGUUGAUGGAGAUGCUGAGCAGUCUGAUGAAAGGUUUCAUCAGCUGCACUGCUAGAGGCUAGAGGCCAAGUCUCCUGGAAUAGAAGAGGGAUGCUAAUGCUGUUCAUUUCCAAAGCAUAACUUUCUCUAACAAGUAAGUAUUUUUCCAUUUGAAAGAAUAGCUGAGAAUUUAUGAAAAUUCCAGAAUCAUGGUUUUUUUAGGCUGACUUGCAAUAAUGCUAGUAAGUCUUAUUAUAGUGAUAACACAGGCUCUAGAAGGUGUUGAAGCAAUACACCUUAGUUCCUGUGAACUCUAAGGCGUUGUAUAUGUUACAAAUAAAUAGAGUGUGGAUUUUAUUAAUUGCA